This 2904-nucleotide ribosomal RNA is filed under the name Escherichia coli. RNAcentral describes it as "23S ribosomal RNA". It matches the Rfam family "Bacterial large subunit ribosomal RNA". The record is from RNAcentral. Lineage: Bacteria; Pseudomonadati; Pseudomonadota; Gammaproteobacteria; Enterobacterales; Enterobacteriaceae.
GGUUAAGCGACUAAGCGUACACGGUGGAUGCCCUGGCAGUCAGAGGCGAUGAAGGACGUGCUAAUCUGCGAUAAGCGUCGGUAAGGUGAUAUGAACCGUUAUAACCGGCGAUUUCCGAAUGGGGAAACCCAGUGUGUUUCGACACACUAUCAUUAACUGAAUCCAUAGGUUAAUGAGGCGAACCGGGGGAACUGAAACAUCUAAGUACCCCGAGGAAAAGAAAUCAACCGAGAUUCCCCCAGUAGCGGCGAGCGAACGGGGAGCAGCCCAGAGCCUGAAUCAGUGUGUGUGUUAGUGGAAGCGUCUGGAAAGGCGUGCGAUACAGGGUGACAGCCCCGUACACAAAAAUGCACAUGCUGUGAGCUCGAUGAGUAGGGCGGGACACGUGGUAUCCUGUCUGAAUAUGGGGGGACCAUCCUCCAAGGCUAAAUACUCCUGACUGACCGAUAGUGAACCAGUACCGUGAGGGAAAGGCGAAAAGAACCCCGGCGAGGGGAGUGAAAAAGAACCUGAAACCGUGUACGUACAAGCAGUGGGAGCACGCUUAGGCGUGUGACUGCGUACCUUUUGUAUAAUGGGUCAGCGACUUAUAUUCUGUAGCAAGGUUAACCGAAUAGGGGAGCCGAAGGGAAACCGAGUCUUAACUGGGCGUUAAGUUGCAGGGUAUAGACCCGAAACCCGGUGAUCUAGCCAUGGGCAGGUUGAAGGUUGGGUAACACUAACUGGAGGACCGAACCGACUAAUGUUGAAAAAUUAGCGGAUGACUUGUGGCUGGGGGUGAAAGGCCAAUCAAACCGGGAGAUAGCUGGUUCUCCCCGAAAGCUAUUUAGGUAGCGCCUCGUGAAUUCAUCUCCGGGGGUAGAGCACUGUUUCGGCAAGGGGGUCAUCCCGACUUACCAACCCGAUGCAAACUGCGAAUACCGGAGAAUGUUAUCACGGGAGACACACGGCGGGUGCUAACGUCCGUCGUGAAGAGGGAAACAACCCAGACCGCCAGCUAAGGUCCCAAAGUCAUGGUUAAGUGGGAAACGAUGUGGGAAGGCCCAGACAGCCAGGAUGUUGGCUUAGAAGCAGCCAUCAUUUAAAGAAAGCGUAAUAGCUCACUGGUCGAGUCGGCCUGCGCGGAAGAUGUAACGGGGCUAAACCAUGCACCGAAGCUGCGGCAGCGACACUAUGUGUUGUUGGGUAGGGGAGCGUUCUGUAAGCCUGUGAAGGUGUGCUGUGAGGCAUGCUGGAGGUAUCAGAAGUGCGAAUGCUGACAUAAGUAACGAUAAAGCGGGUGAAAAGCCCGCUCGCCGGAAGACCAAGGGUUCCUGUCCAACGUUAAUCGGGGCAGGGUGAGUCGACCCCUAAGGCGAGGCCGAAAGGCGUAGUCGAUGGGAAACAGGUUAAUAUUCCUGUACUUGGUGUUACUGCGAAGGGGGGACGGAGAAGGCUAUGUUGGCCGGGCGACGGUUGUCCCGGUUUAAGCGUGUAGGCUGGUUUUCCAGGCAAAUCCGGAAAAUCAAGGCUGAGGCGUGAUGACGAGGCACUACGGUGCUGAAGCAACAAAUGCCCUGCUUCCAGGAAAAGCCUCUAAGCAUCAGGUAACAUCAAAUCGUACCCCAAACCGACACAGGUGGUCAGGUAGAGAAUACCAAGGCGCUUGAGAGAACUCGGGUGAAGGAACUAGGCAAAAUGGUGCCGUAACUUCGGGAGAAGGCACGCUGAUAUGUAGGUGAAGCGACUUGCUCGUGGAGCUGAAAUCAGUCGAAGAUACCAGCUGGCUGCAACUGUUUAUUAAAAACACAGCACUGUGCAAACACGAAAGUGGACGUAUACGGUGUGACGCCUGCCCGGUGCCGGAAGGUUAAUUGAUGGGGUUAGCCGCAAGGCGAAGCUCUUGAUCGAAGCCCCGGUAAACGGCGGCCGUAACUAUAACGGUCCUAAGGUAGCGAAAUUCCUUGUCGGGUAAGUUCCGACCUGCACGAAUGGCGUAAUGAUGGCCAGGCUGUCUCCACCCGAGACUCAGUGAAAUUGAACUCGCUGUGAAGAUGCAGUGUACCCGCGGCAAGACGGAAAGACCCCGUGAACCUUUACUAUAGCUUGACACUGAACAUUGAGCCUUGAUGUGUAGGAUAGGUGGGAGGCUUUGAAGUGUGGACGCCAGUCUGCAUGGAGCCGACCUUGAAAUACCACCCUUUAAUGUUUGAUGUUCUAACGUUGACCCGUAAUCCGGGUUGCGGACAGUGUCUGGUGGGUAGUUUGACUGGGGCGGUCUCCUCCUAAAGAGUAACGGAGGAGCACGAAGGUUGGCUAAUCCUGGUCGGACAUCAGGAGGUUAGUGCAAUGGCAUAAGCCAGCUUGACUGCGAGCGUGACGGCGCGAGCAGGUGCGAAAGCAGGUCAUAGUGAUCCGGUGGUUCUGAAUGGAAGGGCCAUCGCUCAACGGAUAAAAGGUACUCCGGGGAUAACAGGCUGAUACCGCCCAAGAGUUCAUAUCGACGGCGGUGUUUGGCACCUCGAUGUCGGCUCAUCACAUCCUGGGGCUGAAGUAGGUCCCAAGGGUAUGGCUGUUCGCCAUUUAAAGUGGUACGCGAGCUGGGUUUAGAACGUCGUGAGACAGUUCGGUCCCUAUCUGCCGUGGGCGCUGGAGAACUGAGGGGGCUGCUCCUAGUACGAGAGGACCGGAGUGGACGCAUCACUGGUGUUCGGGUUGUCAUGCCAAUGGCACUGCCCGGUAGCUAAAUGCGGAAGAGAUAAGUGCUGAAAGCAUCUAAGCACGAAACUUGCCCCGAGAUGAGUUCUCCCUGACUCCUUGAGAGUCCUGAAGGAACGUUGAAGACGACGACGUUGAUAGGCCGGGUGUGUAAGCGCAGCGAUGCGUUGAGCUAACCGGUACUAAUGAACCGUGAGGCUUAACCUU